This 515-nucleotide ribosomal RNA is filed under the name uncultured bacterium. Its description in RNAcentral is "bacterial SSU rRNA". It matches the Rfam family "Bacterial small subunit ribosomal RNA", at positions 21 to 518 of the family's 1533-position model. The record is from RNAcentral.
GGCUCAGGACGAACGCUGGCGGCGUGCCUAAUACAUGCAAGUCGAGCGAAUGACAAGGAGCUUGCUCCUUUGAUUUAGCGGCGGACGGGUGAGUAACACGUGGGUAACCUACCCUAUAGACUGGGAUAACUUCGGGAAACCGGAGCUAAUACCGGAUAAUACUUUUGAACACAUGUUCGAAAGUUGAAAGAUGGUUUCGGCUAUCACUAUAGGAUGGACCCGCGGCGCAUUAGCUAGUUGGUGGGGUAAUGGCUCACCAAGGCAACGAUGCGUAGCCGACCUGAGAGGGUGAUCGGCCACACUGGGACUGAGACACGGCCCAGACUCCUACGGGAGGCAGCAGUAGGGAAUCUUCCACAAUGGACGAAAGUCUGAUGGAGCAACGCCGCCGUGAGUGAAGAAGGAUUUCGGUUCGUAAAACUCUGUUGCAGGGGAAGAACAAGUAGCGUAGUAACUGGCGCUACCUUGACGGUACCUUGUUAGAAAGCCACGGCUAACUACGUGCCAGCCGCCGC